UAGGGAAUCUUCGGCAAUGGACGAAAGUCUGACCGAGCAACGCCGCGUGAGUGAAGAAGGUUUUCGGAUCGUAAAACUCUGUUGGUAGAGAAGAACGUUGGUGAGAGUGGAAAGCUCAUCAAGUGACGGUAACUACCCAGAAAGGGACGGCUAACUACGUGCCAGCAGCCGCGGUAAUACGUAGGUCCCGAGCGUUGUCCGGAUUUAUUGGGCGUAAAGCGAGCGCAGGUGGUUUAUUAAGUCUGGUGUAAAAGGCAGUGGCUCAACCAUUGUAUGCAUUGGAAACUGGUAGACUUGAGUGCAGGAGAGGAGAGUGGAAUUCCAUGUGUAGCGGUGAAAUGCGUAGAUAUAUGGAGGAACACCGGUGGCGAAAGCGGCUCUCUGGCCUGUAACUGACACUGAGGCUCGAAAGCGUGGGGAGCAAACAGGAUUAGAUACCCUGGUAGUCCACGCCGUAAACGAUGAGUGCUAGAUGUAGGGAGCUAUAAGUUCUCUGUAUCGCAGCUAACGCAAUAAGCACUCCGCCUGGGGAGUACGACCGCAAGGUUGAAACUCUAAAGCGAA
Molecule: ribosomal RNA, 564 nt
Filed under: uncultured bacterium
Lineage: Bacteria
Description: partial 16S ribosomal RNA
Rfam family: Bacterial small subunit ribosomal RNA
Source: RNAcentral